This 450-nucleotide ribosomal RNA is filed under the name uncultured bacterium. RNAcentral describes it as "partial 16S ribosomal RNA". It matches the Rfam family "Bacterial small subunit ribosomal RNA", at positions 338 to 795 of the family's 1533-position model. The record is from RNAcentral.
CCUACGGGGGGCUGCAGUGAGGAAUAUUGGUCAAUGGACGAAAGUCUGAACCAGCCAUGCCGCGUGCAGGAUGAAUGCCCUAUGGGUUGUAAACUGCUUUUAUAUAGGAAUAAACCCCUUUACGUGUAAAGGGCUGAAGGUACUAUAAGAAUAAGGACCGGCUAACUCCGUGCCAGCAGCCGCGGUAAUACGGAGGGUCCAAGCGUUAUCCGGAUUUAUUGGGUUUAAGGGGGCCACAUAAGGAAAAAGUGAAAUCCUAUCGCUUAACGAUAGAACUGCCAUUGAUACUGUUUUUCUUGAGUAUACGUGAAGUGGGCGGAAUGUGUCAUGUAGCGGUGAAAUGCAUAGAUAUGACACAGAACACCGAUUGCGAAGGCAGCUCACUAAAUUAUAACUGACGCUCAUGGACGAAAGCGUGGGGAGCAAACAGGAUUAGAUACCCUAGUAGUC